This is a non-coding RNA of Nothobranchius furzeri (turquoise killifish), 770 nucleotides long. The record is from RefSeq and is a predicted model, not a curated record. Lineage: Eukaryota; Metazoa; Chordata; Actinopteri; Cyprinodontiformes; Nothobranchiidae.
CUAGAGCUGAAACAACUAAUCGAUUUAAUCGAUUAUAAUCGAUUAUUAAAAUAGUUAACAACUUUUUUAGUCAUCGAUUAGUUGUUUAAUAAUCAUAUUUUACCGCAUAAAGUCUAUUUUUACCACAAUCUGACAUCGGUUACAAGCUGUUAAAUUUGCCGCCAGUGUGUGGCAGUAAUGAGCCACUGAUCUACCAGUGGAGCCGUAGAAGAAGAAAUGAGCCAAUGAGUGCCCUCGGUUUUCAUGACGUAUCACGUUACUGACGCUCAUCUUGCUGUGAGAGAUGGCGGAACAAGAGGAAAUACGGAAGAAAAGUAGAAGCGACAAAAUUUUAGAGAAACCCCGGACAAAAACCUCACGAGUAUGGGAGCACUUCACUAGAUGCAUUGAAAAGGCAAAAUAUGCAAAAACCAUCUAGCAUGGCACGGAAGCACGACGUCCCUAAGUGAACAUUUGAGACGAAAACGUGGGGGCUGAGGAAGAGCACCGCGGUCAAGUGAGCCGUCAUUUGGAAGAGCCAGCCCGAAAAAAAACAAGCAACGAUGGACAACUACAUGGGAAAAGAGACACUCACCCCCCAGCAAUUCAUACCACUUACAAACUCUAUUCUAAACAUGCUGGUAAAAGACAUGAGGCCACUAUCCAUGGUGGAAGGAGCAGGCUUCCAGCUAAUGCUAAAAAAUUAUUCUGGACUGAUAUUUUGCACUGUUUAGCUCAUUUUAUACUGCUGACUGUGUUCAUGUGCAAUAAAAUAGAUUGCAGUCAACUGC